UUUCAUGCCCUCUUGAACGCUACUUUUGUUGGUUUUUUCAGUAAAAAUUUCUCCUUUCCCAUUUCUAACGUCUCAUAACCUCUUGAUUCCAUCACUACUUCUUCAUGAUUUCCGUCACAAUAAUGCAUAUAAUAACAAAAAAGAAAGUGCUAACAAUCAAAAAGUUAGUCAGGUAACGGAACAAACCAUAGUAGCAGAAAAUAUCAAAAUAUUGAAAACGAUUUGAAAGCAAAACCCUAGAAAUCAACCAUUCAAGAGGAGAUAGAAACCCUAACAUCAAAGAGAGGCGAUUCUUACCCAAGAACAAUUUGCGCUGAUCAGCGAAGUCGUGGUACUCCUGAGACUGGGGAAUCGCCGGGGUUACGAUCAUUAACACUAUAAAGAUUACGAUCGCAGCUCCCCACCCAUAAAAUUUCCUUCUCCCCAUCGCGCCCUUUCUCUCUCUCCC
This 448-nucleotide long non-coding RNA is filed under the name Phoenix dactylifera (date palm). RNAcentral's name for it is "long non-coding RNA (PDAC_LNC013849)". The record is from RNAcentral. Lineage: Eukaryota; Viridiplantae; Streptophyta; Magnoliopsida; Arecales; Arecaceae.